Long non-coding RNA from Dama dama (fallow deer), 3179 nucleotides. RefSeq lists it as uncharacterized. The transcript has 3 exons. The record is from RefSeq and is a predicted model, not a curated record. Lineage: Eukaryota; Metazoa; Chordata; Mammalia; Artiodactyla; Cervidae.
GAAAAGACCCUGAUGCUGGGAAAGAUUGAAGGCAGGAGGAGAAGGGGAUGACAGAGGGUGAGAUGGUUGGAUGGCAUCACCGACUCAAUGGACAUGAGUUUGGGUAGGCUCUGGGAGUUGGUGAUGGACAGGGAGGCCUGGCGUGCUGUGGUUCAUGGGGUCGCAAAGAGUCGGACACGACUGAGCAACUGAACUGAAUUGCGGAACUAAGAUCCUGGAAGCCACACAGCAUUGCCAAAAAAUAAAAAGACUUUGUCUGCUCAGAAUGUGUACAUGGAGUCUUCCCCAGGCCCCAUUGCUUGAAUCAGUUCAUGCCUCCUCUUUGUCUGGAAGAAAAUCUACCAGUUAUUAAUGGAAAUAGGUGAUUUUCAUACCUGCUGGUGAACUCCUUUGCAAACUGACCGAUUUUCUGAGAUUCUCAAGGACACAUCCUGGCAGUCUCCCAUCUGUCGACUAGCUCAGAUUUUUCAGUGACAAAACCGUGUUUCAAGCCAGGAUGUCCUGACAGGAAACCUGAGAAAGGCAACACUCCUUCCUGCCACUGUGUUUUAUAUGGAUCUGUGGAAGCCACAGUGGUGCAGCAGCUUCUGGCUACUUCUUUCAGUCUGUGGUGUUCAUUUAUCCUCAGCCUGGUUGGGGUUUUCCCUGAGAAUAAGCCAGGGCAGAUGAAUCUCAUGGUGUCAUUCCUGGGGAUGCUGUACAUGUGUAAUACAUGUGGGCCUCCAGUCUUUGUGGUGCCAUCUGCUCUGUUCCCAGCACAUUUAGCAGCACUCGCUCAAUGAGAGUGUUCCAGCCCAGUACUCUGCGGGGGUGGGGCUGGUUAUAUGGUUCUAGACGCCUGAUUCCUUGCCAAGCUCAACGCUGCUGAGAAUGACUUGCUUUUUGACUCACGUUUGAUUUGAGCAGAACCUUUCAUUGAACGCACCUGGCAUACAUCUCAAAUUUCCUGCAUAUUAGCCAAGGAAUUCUAGCUACUGAAAGCUGAACACUAUGACACUGUUAUAACUAAUUAACACCCUGAAAGACACUGAAAUGAACCCAGCAGGCCAGCUGGCAGGAAGUCAGACUGCGGUCCUUGCCUCAGAGGAUGACACAGGCCAAAGGAGAGAAGGAAAACAAGGCAGCCAGAGCAAUUAGGAGUAAGGAAAGAGGGCGUGCUUGGCCUGGCCCUGCUUGCCUGAUCUCUGUGUUGAGCUGUUGUUCGAGCCACUGGAGGAGUCCUCAGGCCUACUACCCCAUGUGUCUCAUUGAAAAGCGGAUGCAGACUGCCUUCCAAAGAUGUCUUAAGGCAUGUGGAAGAGCAGAAAGGACAAAGUUUUAUUUUAUUUUGCUUUUAAAAUGUUUUUGUGUUUACUUUUUUGAAUUGGUAAUUCAUAUACAUGGCUCAAAACUAGAAUAGUAUGAAAAGGUAUAUAACGAGAAAUCAGCGUGACUGAGCGACUGAACUGACUGCGAAAAGUCUCUCUCCUGUUCCUGUACCCAUCUGCCCGUUUCCCCCAUCCUAAACAGAAAACUCUUGUUACUAGGUUUUGUUUAUCCCACUAGUGAUAUUUCUGUGCAUGUGUGUGCAUGCUCAGUCCCUCAGACAUGUCUGACUCUUUGCAACCCCAUGGACCAUGGCCUGCCAGGAUCCUUGGCCCAUAGAAUUUUCCAGGCAAGAAUACUGGAUACUGGAGUGACUUGCCAUUUCCUACUCCAGGAGAUCUUCCCAACCCAGGGAUUGAACCUGUGUCUCCUGCAUCAGCAGGCAGAUUCUUUACCACUGAGCCACCUGAGAAGCUUUUUAUGCAUAUACAAGCUAAAAUAUAUAUUCUUCUUUACUCCAUUCUAACAAAUGGUGCCAUGAUGUACAGACCUUUUGCACCUUGUUGGGGUCCCCAUCCUCCACCCCUACUUAACACUGUCCUGGAAACAUUUCCUUCUACGUGUACAGAGAGCAUUCUAAGUUUUAUUUUUGUGGCUGCAGAGUUUUGUACUGUAUUAAUGUAGUGUAAUUUAUCUGGUUCCCCUGAAGGAGGUUUAGGUUAUUUCCAGAGUUUUGGUAUUAUGAAUAAGGGCAUGGACCUUAAAAACAGAUGUGACUUCAAAUCCUAGUCUGAUGCUUGACUUUAGGCCUUCAUUGCCUCAUCUGUAAAGUGGGGAUUAUUUUAUAUUUUUAUUCUGCCUCAUAACAUUAUUGUGAAAGAUUAAGUAAUAUAUAAAGUACUUGAGAAAUAGUAGGUACCCAGUGAAACCAAUAUAUUAUACCUUGCAACCAAGCAUAUUAGAAUUUUAUCUUGAAAAAGAAGAUACUUUGAUUACUCCUUAUUAGAGUAAUCACAUAAAUUUAAAUACUUUUUUUCAGAACCAAUGUAUAUUUAUUAUUUUUAAAAAUCCAGAUAAGUAAAAAGAGGAAAAUACAGAUAGCCUAUAGUGGCACUAGUGGUGAAGAACCUGCCUGCCAAUUCAGGAGACAUAAGAGACAUGGUUUUGAUCCCUGGGUUGGAAGGAAGAAGAUCCACUGGAAGAGGGUGUGGCAACCCACUCCAGUAUUCUUGCCUGGAGAAUCCCCUGGGCAGAGGAGCCUGGCAGGCUGCAGUCCAUAGGGUCGCAAAGAGUUGCACAUGACUGAAGUGACUCAGCACAUAAUUGUACCACUGAAAAAAAUUACUGAUAUGUUUUGAUCUAUCUUUUGAGUUAUUUCUCUAACCAAAUAUGCAUAUAGUAUAAAAUUCUGAAUGGAAUGGUGCAGUACAUUUUUAUAACCUGCCUUCUUCAAUUAACAGUGCUUGCAAUCAUCUCUCCAUGUCAUAAAAUAUUUUUCUCAUUGUUUUUAAUGACUACCUAGUAUGUCAUCAUUUGGAUUUACAAUAAUUUAUAAUUUAUUAAAAAUUAUCUCUGGGUAGAGAAUUUACUUAUACAUAAAUAUUUAAUUUCUCUAGAAUUAAUGGUGAUUCAUGAUAUGAGUUAAGUAAUCUAAAUUUUUUUUUUUUUUUACAAAUGGUUAAUUAGCAACUUGCCUGACAUCCUUUAUUGAACAAGCCACACUUACCCCACCAGUCUGGAAUGCUAUCUUAAUCAUAUUCUAAAUCCUUAUAUAAGCAUAGAUAGAACUGAUUUUAGAUUUUAUUCUAUUCUGUAGAUUGACUUCUCUGUUCUCAUGUAGUAAUCACAAUUUCAUUAAAGCACACUUAAAUAUC